RNAcentral lists this ribosomal RNA (2776 nucleotides) under Escherichia coli 3-073-06_S4_C2. RNAcentral's name for it is "bacterial LSU rRNA". It matches the Rfam family "Bacterial large subunit ribosomal RNA". Lineage: Bacteria; Pseudomonadati; Pseudomonadota; Gammaproteobacteria; Enterobacterales; Enterobacteriaceae. The record is from RNAcentral.
CCAGUGUGAUUCGUCACACUAUCAUUAACUGAAUCCAUAGGUUAAUGAGGCGAACCGGGGGAACUGAAACAUCUAAGUACCCCGAGGAAAAGAAAUCAACCGAGAUUCCCCCAGUAGCGGCGAGCGAACGGGGAGCAGCCCAGAGCCUGAAUCAGUGUGUGUGUUAGUGGAAGCGUCUGGAAAGGCGCGCGAUACAGGGUGACAGCCCCGUACACAAAAAUGCACAUGCUGUGAGCUCGAUGAGUAGGGCGGGACACGUGGUAUCCUGUCUGAAUAUGGGGGGACCAUCCUCCAAGGCUAAAUACUCCUGACUGACCGAUAGUGAACCAGUACCGUGAGGGAAAGGCGAAAAGAACCCCGGCGAGGGGAGUGAAAAAGAACCUGAAACCGUGUACGUACAAGCAGUGGGAGCACGCUUAGGCGUGUGACUGCGUACCUUUUGUAUAAUGGGUCAGCGACUUAUAUUCUGUAGCAAGGUUAACCGAAUAGGGGAGCCGAAGGGAAACCGAGUCUUAACUGGGCGUUAAGUUGCAGGGUAUAGACCCGAAACCCGGUGAUCUAGCCAUGGGCAGGUUGAAGGUUGGGUAACACUAACUGGAGGACCGAACCGACUAAUGUUGAAAAAUUAGCGGAUGACUUGUGGCUGGGGGUGAAAGGCCAAUCAAACCGGGAGAUAGCUGGUUCUCCCCGAAAGCUAUUUAGGUAGCGCCUCGUGAAUUCAUCUCCGGGGGUAGAGCACUGUUUCGGCAAGGGGGUCAUCCCGACUUACCAACCCGAUGCAAACUGCGAAUACCGGAGAAUGUUAUCACGGGAGACACACGGCGGGUGCUAACGUCCGUCGUGAAGAGGGAAACAACCCAGACCGCCAGCUAAGGUCCCAAAGUCAUGGUUAAGUGGGAAACGAUGUGGGAAGGCCCAGACAGCCAGGAUGUUGGCUUAGAAGCAGCCAUCAUUUAAAGAAAGCGUAAUAGCUCACUGGUCGAGUCGGCCUGCGCGGAAGAUGUAACGGGGCUAAACCAUGCACCGAAGCUGCGGCAGCGACGCUGAUGCGUUGUUGGGUAGGGGAGCGUUCUGUAAGCCUGUGAAGGUGUGCUGUGAGGCAUGCUGGAGGUAUCAGAAGUGCGAAUGCUGACAUAAGUAACGAUAAAGCGGGUGAAAAGCCCGCUCGCCGGAAGACCAAGGGUUCCUGUCCAACGUUAAUCGGGGCAGGGUGAGUCGACCCCUAAGGCGAGGCCGAAAGGCGUAGUCGAUGGGAAACAGGUUAAUAUUCCUGUACUUGGUGUUACUGCGAAGGGGGGACGGAGAAGGCUAUGUUGGCCGGGCGACGGUUGUCCCGGUUUAAGCGUGUAGGCUGGUUUUCCAGGCAAAUCCGGAAAAUCAAGGCUGAGGCGUGAUGACGAGGCACUACGGUGCUGAAGCAACAAAUGCCCUGCUUCCAGGAAAAGCCUCUAAGCAUCAGGUAACAUCAAAUCGUACCCCAAACCGACACAGGUGGUCAGGUAGAGAAUACCAAGGCGCUUGAGAGAACUCGGGUGAAGGAACUAGGCAAAAUGGUGCCGUAACUUCGGGAGAAGGCACGCUGAUAUGUAGGUGAAGUCCCUCGCGGAUGGAGCUGAAAUCAGUCGAAGAUACCAGCUGGCUGCAACUGUUUAUUAAAAACACAGCACUGUGCAAACACGAAAGUGGACGUAUACGGUGUGACGCCUGCCCGGUGCCGGAAGGUUAAUUGAUGGGGUUAGCGCAAGCGAAGCUCUUGAUCGAAGCCCCGGUAAACGGCGGCCGUAACUAUAACGGUCCUAAGGUAGCGAAAUUCCUUGUCGGGUAAGUUCCGACCUGCACGAAUGGCGUAAUGAUGGCCAGGCUGUCUCCACCCGAGACUCAGUGAAAUUGAACUCGCUGUGAAGAUGCAGUGUACCCGCGGCAAGACGGAAAGACCCCGUGAACCUUUACUAUAGCUUGACACUGAACAUUGAGCCUUGAUGUGUAGGAUAGGUGGGAGGCUUUGAAGUGUGGACGCCAGUCUGCAUGGAGCCGACCUUGAAAUACCACCCUUUAAUGUUUGAUGUUCUAACGUGGACCCGUAAUCCGGGUUGCGGACAGUGUCUGGUGGGUAGUUUGACUGGGGCGGUCUCCUCCUAAAGAGUAACGGAGGAGCACGAAGGUUGGCUAAUCCUGGUCGGACAUCAGGAGGUUAGUGCAAUGGCAUAAGCCAGCUUGACUGCGAGCGUGACGGCGCGAGCAGGUGCGAAAGCAGGUCAUAGUGAUCCGGUGGUUCUGAAUGGAAGGGCCAUCGCUCAACGGAUAAAAGGUACUCCGGGGAUAACAGGCUGAUACCGCCCAAGAGUUCAUAUCGACGGCGGUGUUUGGCACCUCGAUGUCGGCUCAUCACAUCCUGGGGCUGAAGUAGGUCCCAAGGGUAUGGCUGUUCGCCAUUUAAAGUGGUACGCGAGCUGGGUUUAGAACGUCGUGAGACAGUUCGGUCCCUAUCUGCCGUGGGCGCUGGAGAACUGAGGGGGGCUGCUCCUAGUACGAGAGGACCGGAGUGGACGCAUCACUGGUGUUCGGGUUGUCAUGCCAAUGGCACUGCCCGGUAGCUAAAUGCGGAAGAGAUAAGUGCUGAAAGCAUCUAAGCACGAAACUUGCCCCGAGAUGAGUUCUCCCUGACUCCUUGAGAGUCCUGAAGGAACGUUGAAGACGACGACGUUGAUAGGCCGGGUGUGUAAGCGCAGCGAUGCGUUGAGCUAACCGGUACUAAUGAACCGUGAGGCUUAACCUU